RNAcentral lists this ribosomal RNA (497 nucleotides) under uncultured bacterium. RNAcentral's name for it is "partial 16S ribosomal RNA". It matches the Rfam family "Bacterial small subunit ribosomal RNA", at positions 28 to 507 of the family's 1533-position model. The record is from RNAcentral.
GAUGAACGCUGGCGGCGUGCCUAAUACAUACAAGUCGAGCGAACAGAUGAGGAGCUUGCUCCUCUGACGUUAGCGGCGGACGGGUGAGUAACACGUGGAUAACCUACCUAUAAGACUGGGAUAACUUCGGGAAACCGGAGCUAAUACCGGAUAAUAUAUUGAACCGCAUGGUUCAAUAGUGAAAGACGGUUUUGCUGUCACUUAUAGAUGGAUCCGCGCCGCAUUAGCUAGUUGGUAAGGUAACGGCUUACCAAGGCAACGAUGCGUAGCCGACCUGAGAGGGUGAUCGGCCACACUGGAACUGAGACACGGUCCAGACUCCUACGGGAGGCAGCAGUAGGGAAUCUUCCGCAAUGGGCGAAAGCUUGACGGAGCAACGCCGCGUGAUUGAUGAAGGUCUUCGGAUCGUAAAACUCUGUUAUUAGGGAAGAACAAAUGUGUAAGUAACUAUGCACGUCUUGACGGUACCUAAUCAGAAAGCCACGGCUAACUACGUG